Molecule: ribosomal RNA, 253 nt
Filed under: uncultured bacterium
Lineage: Bacteria
Description: partial 16S ribosomal RNA
Rfam family: Bacterial small subunit ribosomal RNA
Source: RNAcentral
UACAGAGGUCUCAAGCGUUGUUCGGAUUCAUUGGGCGUAAAGGGUGCGUAGGUGGCGCCGUAAGUCAGGUGUGAAAUUUCGGAGCUUAACUCCGAAACUGCAUUUGAUACUGCGGUGCUUGAGGACUGGAGAGGAGACUGGAAUUCACGGUGUAGCAGUGAAAUGCGUAGAUAUCGUGAGGAAGACCAGUGGCGAAGGCGGGUCUCUGGACAGUUCCUGACACUGAGGCACGAAAGCUAGGGGAGCAAACGGG